Molecule: ribosomal RNA, 507 nt
Filed under: uncultured bacterium
Lineage: Bacteria
Description: partial 16S ribosomal RNA
Source: RNAcentral
GGAGUUAGCCGGUGCUUCUUCUGUGAGUGAUGUCCUUCCUGCCGGCUAUUAACCCGCAGGCCUUCUUCCUCACUGAAAGUGCUUUACAACCCGAAGGCCUUCUUCACACACGCGGCAUGGCUGGAUCAGGGUUGCCCCCAUUGUCCAAUAUUCCCCACUGCUGCCUCCCGUAGGAGUCUGGGCCGUGUCUCAGUCCCAGUGUGGCUGAUCAUCCUCUCAGGCCAGCUACGGAUCGUCGCCUUGGUGAGCCGUUACCUCACCAACCAGCUAAUCCGACAUAGGCUCAUCCGAUAGCGCGAGGCCCGAAGGUCCCCCGCUUUCCCCCGUAGGGCGUAUGUGGUAUUAGCCUGGGUUUCCCCAGGUUAUCCCCCACUACCGGGCAGAUUCCUAUGCAUUACUCACCCGUCCGCCGCUCGCCACCAGGGAGCAAGCUCCCCGUGCUGCCGCUCGACUUGCAUGUGUUAGGCCUGCCGCCAGCGUUCAAUCUGAGCCAGGAUCAAACUCUGA